RNAcentral lists this ribosomal RNA (403 nucleotides) under uncultured bacterium. RNAcentral describes it as "bacterial SSU rRNA". It matches the Rfam family "Bacterial small subunit ribosomal RNA", at positions 355 to 775 of the family's 1533-position model. The record is from RNAcentral.
UGGGGAAUAUUGCGCAAUGGGGGAAACCCUGACGCAGCAACGCCGCGUGAAUGAUGAAGGCCUUCGGGUUGUAAAGUUCUGUCUUCUGGGACGAUAAUGACGGUACCAGAGGAGGAAGCCACGGCUAACUACGUGCCAGCAGCCGCGGUAAUACGUAGGUGGCAAGCGUUGUCCGGAUUUACUGGGCGUAAAGGAUGCGUAGGCGGACAUUUAAGUCAGAUGUGAAAUACCCGAGCUUAACUUGGGUGCUGCAUUUGAAACUGGGUGUCUAGAGUGCAGGAGAGGUAAGUGGAAUUCCUAGUGUAGCGGUGAAAUGCGUAGAGAUUAGGAAGAACACCAGUGGCGAAGGCGACUUACUGGACUGUAACUGACGCUGAGGCAUGAAAGCGUGGGGAGCAAACAG